UACGGUCAUUGUCAUUUUGUAAACACCGGUUCUCGUACGAUCACCGAAGUUAAGCAUCGUAGAGCCAGGUCAGUACUUAGAUGGGGGACCGCUUGGGAACACCUGGUACUGUA
Non-coding RNA from Acanthosepion pharaonis, 113 nucleotides. The record is from the annotation of a GenBank genome assembly. NCBI's taxonomy places the organism in Eukaryota, Metazoa, Mollusca, Cephalopoda, Sepiida, Sepiidae.